RNAcentral lists this ribosomal RNA (253 nucleotides) under uncultured bacterium. Its description in RNAcentral is "partial 16S ribosomal RNA". It matches the Rfam family "Bacterial small subunit ribosomal RNA", at positions 524 to 776 of the family's 1533-position model. The record is from RNAcentral.
GACAGAGGGGGCAAGCGUUGUCCGGAUUUACUGGGCGUACAGCGCGCGCAGGCGGGUGGCAAGGUGCUCUGUGACAUUCGCGAGCUCAACUCGCGACGGCCAGGGUAGACCGGUCGCCUGGAGGCAGGGAGAGGGUGGUGGAAUACCCGGUGGAGCGGUGAAAUGCGUAGAGAUCGGGUGGAACACCAGCGGCGAAGGCGGCCACCUGGCCCUGACCUGACGCUGAGGCGCGAGAGCGUGGGGAGCGAACCGG